RNAcentral lists this ribosomal RNA (380 nucleotides) under uncultured Nitrososphaerota archaeon. RNAcentral describes it as "bacterial SSU rRNA". It matches the Rfam family "Archaeal small subunit ribosomal RNA", at positions 471 to 851 of the family's 1478-position model. The record is from RNAcentral. Lineage: Archaea; Thermoproteati; Nitrososphaerota.
UAAAACCAGCACCUCAAGUGGUCAGGAGGAUUAUUGGGCCUAAAGCAUCCGUAGCCUGUUCUAUAAGUUUCCGGUUAAAUCCAUUAGCUCAACUAAUGGGCCGCCGAAAAUACUGUAGAACUAGGGAGUGGGAGAGGUAGACGGUAUUCGGUAGGAAGGGGUAAAAUCCUUUGAUCUAUUGAGGACCACCUGUGGCGAAGGCGGUCUACCAGAACACGUUCGACGGUGAGGGAUGAAAGCUGGGGGAGCAAACCGGAUUAGAUACCCGGGUAGUCCCAGCUGUAAACAAUGCAGACUCGGCGAUGCGCUGGCUUGUGGCCAGUGCAGUGCCGCAGGGAAGCCGUUAAGUUUGCCGCCUGGGAAGUACGUACGCAAGUAUG